Molecule: ribosomal RNA, 496 nt
Filed under: uncultured bacterium
Lineage: Bacteria
Description: bacterial SSU rRNA
Rfam family: Bacterial small subunit ribosomal RNA
Source: RNAcentral
AUGAACGCUAGCGGCAGGCUUAAUACAUGCAAGGUUGAGGGGCAGCAUGAUAUACGCGAGUAUAUUGAUGGCGACCGGCGGACGGGUGAGUAAUAGGUAGGAGACCUACCUCAUACAGGGGGAUAGCAUAGAGAAAUCUGUGGUAAUACCCCAUGAGGUUAUAUGAAUAGAGGCAUAUAAUCAAAGCAUAAGCGAUUAUGCGGUAUGAGAGGGGCCUACUGACCAUUAGCUAGUUGGUGAGGUAAGGGCUCACCAAGGCGAAGAUGGUUAGGGGUUUUGAGAGAGAGACCCCCCACAUUGGAACUGAGAGACGGUCCAGACUCCUACGGGAGGCAGCAGUAGGGAAUAUUGGGCAAUGGGCGAAAGCCUGACCCAGCCAUGCCGCGUGAAGGAAGACGGCCUUAUGGGUUGUAAACUUCUUUACUACGCGAAUAGAGGUUAGUACGAGAUACUAAUAGGAAGGUAGUGUAAGUAAAAAGCACCGGCUAACUCCGUG